Molecule: long non-coding RNA, 2123 nt
Filed under: Canis lupus familiaris (dog)
Lineage: Eukaryota; Metazoa; Chordata; Mammalia; Carnivora; Canidae
Description: lncRNA (ENSCAFG00040007610.1)
Source: RNAcentral
AUGAUAACAGGGUUUAGGGAGACACAGAAGGAAACUCUGAAAGACCUGAUGGAAGAGCUCCAAAAGAAAGUGCGUGACAUCGAAGCAGAGAUUUACCCUAAGAAUGGCGGACAGUUUCAGGGCACAUUGGACAGUGACAGAGAUGUGACCAACUUCCUCACAAAGGUCUCCAAUGGAGAUUGUAAGAGCUGGAUGGAACAUGUAAUGAACCACUGGGAUGAGAAGCUGGAGACAACAGUGCCACAAAGCAGACCUCAAGACACGGCCCGAUCCGGGGCCUCCGGCAGCACACCCAGCACCUGGAUCUUCCUCCUGUUCCUCUGCUGUGCCAUCCUCCUUGGCAUCCAUGUCGGGGUCCUUUAGAGGGACAGGCUGGCGAAGCUACCAAGGAGCCCAGGAGAGUAGGGUCCAGCUGCACAACCCUGCCUUUGCGCAGGCUGCCUUUGGAUGAGCUGCUGUUCAAUUUUAGACCACUAGAACUUGUGGCCUUACAUUCCAGAGACCUCCAACCAGACCACAUGGUGCAGCACUUGGACAUUCUGUGUCCCUUCCUACAUUCAGUGCCUCUCCUGUUCAGCACUCUGCCUUGGCAAAUUCCUGCCAUUUUUCUUGAUGCUAAGUUAUAGAAUCUUUGAAUGGAAAUGUUUAAAGGCAUUAUCAAGAAAUCUCAACAAAGAGAAUGUUCUUCAUCUUGUCCUUUGCUUGUGCAAUAUCAGAAUCUCCUCUGUAUGAUGACAUUGUUCUUGAACAUAGUAUUUUUUUUUAAGGGGAAGAAAUAAAAUCCACAUUUUAUUGAACCAAAAUAAAAUUUCAAUACCAACCCUGCUAAGAAAUGAAAUAUAAUUGAACACUAAAAAUUAAAAUUUACCAGAUAUAAUAUAGUAUAGAGUUUCCUCAAAAAAUUAAAAAUAGAACUACCCUAUAACCCAGUAAUCACACUACUGGGUAUUUACCCAAAAAGUACAAAAACACUAUUUCAAAGCGACACAUGCAUCCCUUUGAAAAAGGGCAUUAUUUACAAUAGCCAAAUUAUGGAAGCAGCCCAUGGAUAAAGAAGGUGUGGCGUCUAUAUCUAUAUUUAUAUCUGUAUGAAAUCUAUCUAUCCAUCUAUCUACACACUGGAAUAUUACUCAGCCACAAAAAAGAAUGAAAUCUUGCCAUUUGCAAUGACAUGGACAGAGCUAGAGAGCAUUAUGUUAACUGAAAUAAAUCAGAGAAAGACAAAUACCAUAUGAUUUAAUUUACAUGUGGAAUUUAAGAAACAAAACAAAUGAGCAAAGAGUGGAAAAAAAGAGAGAGAUAGAAGCAAACCAAGAAACAGACUCUUAACUAUAGAGAACAAACUGAUGGUUACCAGAGGGGAGGUGGAUGGGGGGGAUGGGUUAAAUAGAUGACUGGCAUUAGCAGUUCAUUUGUGAUGAGCAUUGGAUGAUGUAAUGAUAUGCUGAAUCACUAUAUUGUACACCUGAAACUAAUAUAACAUUGUAUGCUAACUAUAUUGGGAUUAAAAAUUUUUAAAGAGAAAACAAACUGAACCAAAUGCUAAUAAUAAGAAUAGUAAAGUAAAAUUUAUCAACUGUAGAAAAAACAGGGCAUCCCCGGUGGCGCAGCGGUUUAGCGCCGCCUGCAGCCUGGGGUGUGAUCCUGGAGACCCGGGAUCGAGUCCCACGUCGGGCUCCCUGGAUGGAGCCUGCUUCUGCCUUCUUCUCCCUCUGCCUGUGUCUCUGCCUCUCUCUCUGUCUCUGAAUAAAUAAAUAAAUCUUUUUUAAAAAAUUAUAUAAUAAACAGUUUUUUGAAGGAAAUGCUUACACUUAAAUUCCUUUUGGGAAACUUGGCUAGAGAAAAAAGGAAAAAAGUAAAGAAAGAGGGCAGCCCAGGUGGCUCAGCGGUUUAGCGCCGCCUUCAGCCCAGGGCCUGAUCCUGGAGACCCCGGAUCGGGUCCCAUGUCGGGCUCCCUGCAUGGAGCCUGCUUCUCCCUCUGCCUGUGUCUCUGCCUCUCUCUCUCUCUCUCUCUCUCGAAUAAAUAAAUAAAAUCUUUAAAAAGAAAAAGUAAAGAGAGAUAAGGAUAUGGAACUAUCCAAACAUUUUGAAUGCAAAGCUAAUAUGCAAGGCAUUCGUUAUAU